CUGCCUCGUUAGCCUCAUGUCUGUCACCUGUGUUGCUCCCGCCCUGCUCGUCAUCCCUGGUAUAUAUGUGUGGUCUUUCUGUUCAGCCCUUAUCCGGUCGUUGUUUGUGUUACCUUCUGUGUGUGGAUUUCCCAGUGUUAAGUCUUGUUGCCUGUCUUCCUCGUCGUGUCUCUCUGUUUCCCUGCUCAUGUCAGAUUUUCACCUGUUUGGAUAACCCGUUUUUGGACUCUGUUGAUCAGCCACUCUGCUUGUAAGUGUGCUCGCCUGUAUUAAACCCCAUUCAACUGUACCUCCUCCGCCUUGCGUCCUGCGUUUGGGUCCUCCAACCUGCCUUACCACCACUUACCGUAACAGAAUGACAGGAACAUACAUGGACCCAGCGGACGCAAAAAUGGAAAGAGAGGUUCCUGGAUGUCUUGGCCGAAUCGCGGACCAUCAGGCAGUUUGUGUCAAGCCGCAAAUCCCGGCAAGCCGCUCUCACCAGGGCCCACCGGGAGGCGGCCGCAAAGCCAUGGUUGCGGCGUCGGUUGCCUAGGUACCCACACUGGCUACCCUGCAGCUAACCCACUGCCUGUUCCCCGGCCUGCUAGCGCUGCUAGCCCCCCAGCCUUUUCCUUGGCCUGCUAGCGCUGCUAGCCACAAGCCUGAUCUGUCGGUCUCCAGCUCGGCUAGCGCUGCUAGCUCCAGGCCGUCUGUUCCCCGGCCUACUAGCGCUCCAGCGGCUAGCCAUCCGCCUGGCCUGCCCGUCUCCCUGCCCGACCCCCCUAACAAGGACUCUGGGACUAUGACUCUCCAGGCCUUCUUUCCCAUGAAGGCCAGGGAGUCAGAGGCACUGGCAGAGGACAAAUGUAACGACAGCAGACACGCCUUCAUGCAGUUCACAUAAUAACGUCUGUAAUGUGAUGAACAAAGAUCCUACAGCUGAUUUCUGCAGCUGCUGCUUCAAAUCUAAAGGCUCAUCAGGAACCAGCCUGUCAAGUUUUAACAUCACAUUCAUAUUGUUCAGAUAAUCAGCUGCUGAGCUCUGAAACUUAAAUGUGACAACAGGAGAAACACAAACAGGAGGUGAUCAAUAUUUAAAUAAACAGAUAUUAAAAACUUCAGCAGACGUCA
This is a long non-coding RNA of Micropterus salmoides (largemouth bass), 1113 nucleotides long. RefSeq lists it as uncharacterized. The record is from RefSeq and is a predicted model, not a curated record. The transcript has 2 exons. NCBI's taxonomy places the organism in Eukaryota, Metazoa, Chordata, Actinopteri, Centrarchiformes, Centrarchidae.